UGUCUGGUCUGUACUGACGCUGAGCUCGAAAGUAUGGGUAGCAAACAGGAUUAGAUACCUGGUAGUCCAUACCGUAAACGAUGAAUGCUAAGUGUUGGAGGGUUCCGCCUUUCAGUGCUGCAGCUAACGCAUUAAGCAUUCCGCUGGGGAGUACGGCCGCAAGGCUGAAACUCAAAGGAAUUGACGGGGGCCCGCACAGCGGUGGAGCAUGUGGUUUAAUUCGAAGCUACGCGAAGAACCUUACCAGGUCUUGACAUACUAUGCAAAUCUAAGAGAUUAGACGUUCCCUUCGGGGACAUGGAUACAGGUGGUGCAUGGUUGUCGUCAGCUCGUGUCGUGAGAUGUUGGGUUAAGUCCCGCAACGAGCGCAACCCUUAUUAUCAGUUGCCAGCAUUAAGUUGGGCACUCUGGUGAGACUGCCGGUGACAAACCGGAGGAAGGUGGGGAUGACGUCAAAUCAUCAUGCCCCUUAUGACCUGGGCUACACACGUGCUACAAUGGAUGGUACAACGAGUUGCGAACUCGCGAGAGUAAGCUAAUCUCUUAAAGCCAUUCUCAGUUCGGAUUGUAGGCUGCAACUCGCCUACAUGAAGUCGGAAUCGCUAGUAAUCGCGGAUCAGCAUGCCGCGGUGAAUACGUUCCCGGGCCUUGUACACACCGCCCGUCACACCAUGAGAGUUUGUAACACCCAAAGUCGGUGGGGUAACCUUUAGGAACCAGCCGCCUAAGGUGGGACAGAUGAUUAGGGUGAAGUCGUAACAAGGUAACCA
RNAcentral lists this ribosomal RNA (770 nucleotides) under uncultured Lactobacillus sp. Its description in RNAcentral is "bacterial SSU rRNA". It matches the Rfam family "Bacterial small subunit ribosomal RNA", at positions 726 to 1502 of the family's 1533-position model. The record is from RNAcentral. Lineage: Bacteria; Bacillati; Bacillota; Bacilli; Lactobacillales; Lactobacillaceae.